AAAAAUCAAUCAUCAGCGACCAUUUGGCACAAUGCACUUUGUGUGGUCUACGCCAGACCACUAAAUACCAGGUAACAACUAAAUGUGGUACUGGCUGAAGUGAGUUCUUUGCAAAGAUAUGAUUGCACUGCACAACACUGACCCAAUGAGAGUAAAUUAGGCAGUAUUUACAACACAGUACCUGCACAGUAAUGGCUUUUCAUUCCCUUUACAUAGGAUCUGUCUACCAUGUAGCACAUUGCUCCAUGUCCAAGAUCCAUCAGUAAUGCAGGAGGAGAUCCUGUGGUAAUGCAGAAGAGUCAACCAUGCAGUAGCUCAAGAUGUCCUGUGUUCAGCCUACUAGAGGAAACAAUGAAGAUGAGCUCGGAGUGGGGAGCAAUGCUGGCCUCGUGCUCCCAACUGGGCCGAAGGAGCAAUGGGAGGACCCAGCCUCAGUCUGAGGGCAGAAGGUUGGUUGAAAUGAGAAUUGACAGAAUCAAUAUCUGCUGGAGAUGCAGAGAAGUUAAUAGAAGAGUUAAAAGUGCAGGGAUUUUGAAGACAGGAGAGAGGUGCUCUGUUUUCCAGCCAAUUGCCUUACGUUUCCACUGCAUUUGAGUUAUACUCCUCAAAAACCUAUCUCCAAAAGAGGCUAAGAAUUUUUUUUUUUGGCUGUGCAAGGGAAAGUGACCAACUGGCUUCAAAAUAAUGGCUCCGUAUAUCUCUUCUGAGAUGUAUGUCUAGAUGUAUGCCAGUAUUGACUGAAAAGUGAUUAAACAGCAUCCAGCCUGCAACAAUUGCUGAAGCUGCAACUCACCCACCAGGAGCUGCUCAGAUCCUCCCUGCACUCUAUUAUGCUCAGAGCAGAUUCUUGCUCCUCCAAGCAGUGAGGUGAGCCCUAGGUAAGGAGCCGGCCGCUGCAAGUGGAGAACAUGCCUGGACAGAAUAAAGGUGAAUAUUACAUAUAUAGAUGUCCCGAG
This 956-nucleotide long non-coding RNA is filed under the name Numida meleagris (helmeted guineafowl). Its description in RNAcentral is "lncRNA (ENSNMEG00000008459.1)". The record is from RNAcentral. Lineage: Eukaryota; Metazoa; Chordata; Aves; Galliformes; Numididae.